AGCGAACGCUGGCGGCAGGCCUAACACAUGCAAGUCGAACGAACCUUUCGGGGUUAGUGGCGGACGGGUGAGUAACACGUGGGAACGUGCCUUUAGGUUCGGAAUAACUCAGGGAAACUUGUGCUAAUACCGAAUGUGCCCUUCGGGGGAAAGAUUUAUCGCCUUUAGAGCGGCCCGCGUCUGAUUAGCUAGUUGGUUGAGGUAAUGGCUCACCAAGGCGACGAUCAGUAGCUGGUCUGAGAGGAUGAUCAGCCACAUUGGGACUGAGACACGGCCCAAACCCCCAGGGGAGGCAAGAGUGGGGAAUCUGGCGAAAGGGGCAAAAGCCGGACGAAGCCAGGCCGGGGGAAAGAAGAAGGUUUUGGGAUGGAAAAAUUUUUUCACCGGGGAAGAAAAGGACGGUACCCGGAAAAGAAGCCCCGGAUAACUUCGG
RNAcentral lists this ribosomal RNA (433 nucleotides) under uncultured bacterium. Its description in RNAcentral is "partial 16S ribosomal RNA". It matches the Rfam family "Bacterial small subunit ribosomal RNA", at positions 29 to 506 of the family's 1533-position model. The record is from RNAcentral.